RNAcentral lists this ribosomal RNA (468 nucleotides) under uncultured bacterium. RNAcentral's name for it is "partial 16S ribosomal RNA". It matches the Rfam family "Bacterial small subunit ribosomal RNA", at positions 28 to 507 of the family's 1533-position model. The record is from RNAcentral.
GACGAACGCUGGAAGCGUGCUUAACACAUGCAAGUCGAACGGAAAGGACCUGCAUAUAUGGGAUGAUAAAGAGGAACAAGGGUAAAAAAAAAGAACACAACCAGCAAUUGAAUUUGGGAUAACUUCACGACACUAGGGCUAAUACCGGAUAGGAGCUCCUGCUGCAUGGUGGGGGUUGGAAAGUUUCGGCGGUUGGGGAUGGACUCGCGGCUUAUCAGCUUGUUGGUGGGGUAGUGGCUUACCAAGGCUUUGACGGGUAGCCGGCCUGAGAGGGUGACCGGCCACAUUGGGACUGAGAUACGGCCCAGACUCCUACGGGAGGCAGCAGUGGGGAAUAUUGCACAAUGGGCGGAAGCCUGAUGCAGCAACGCCGCGUGCGGGAUGACGGCCUUCGGGUUGUAAACCGCUUUCGCCUGUGACGAAGCGUGAGUGACGGUAAUGGGUAAAGAAGCACCGGCUAACUACGUG